AACCUUUACACUGCACGACAGUGCGAUAGGGGGACUCCGAGUGCGAGGGCAUAGAGCCCUCGCUUUUGUACACCGUAAGGUGGUGUACGAAUAAGAACUGGGCAAGACCGGUGCCAGCCGCCGCGGUAAUACCGGCAGUUCGAGUGAUGGCCGAUUUUAUUGGGCCUAAAGCGUUCGUAGCUGGCCGAUCAAGUCUGUCGGGAAAUCUGCUCGCCUAACGAGCAGGCGUCCGGCGGAAACUGAUCGGCUUGGGACCGGAAGACUCGAGGGGUACGUCCGGGGUAGGAGUGAAAUCCUGUAAUCCUGGACGGACCACCGAUGGCGAAAGCACCUCGAGAGCACGGAUCCGACAGUGAGGAACGAAAGCUGGGGUCUCGAACCGGAUUAGAUACCCGGGUAGUCCCAGCUGUCAACGAUGCUCGCUAGGUAUGGCGCAGGCUACGAGCCUGUGCUAUGCCGUAGCGAAGGCGCUAAGCGGGCCGCCUGGGAAGUACGUUCGCAAGAAUGAAACUUAA
This 515-nucleotide ribosomal RNA is filed under the name uncultured archaeon. Its description in RNAcentral is "bacterial SSU rRNA". It matches the Rfam family "Archaeal small subunit ribosomal RNA", at positions 345 to 859 of the family's 1478-position model. The record is from RNAcentral.